UACGUAGGUGGCGAGCGUUGUCCGGAUUUACUGGGCGUAAAGGGAGCGUAGGCGGACUUUUAAGUGAGAUGUGAAAUACCCGGGCUCAACUUGGGUGCUGCAUUUCAAACUGGAAGUCUAGAGUGCAGGAGAGGAGAGUGGAAUUCCUAGUGUAGCGGUGAAAUGCGUAGAUAUUAGGAGGAACACCAGUUGCGAAGGCGGCUCUCUGGACUGUAACUGACGCUGAGGCACGAAAGCGUGGGGAGCAAACAGGAUUAGAUACCCG
RNAcentral lists this ribosomal RNA (265 nucleotides) under uncultured prokaryote. RNAcentral describes it as "partial 16S ribosomal RNA". It matches the Rfam family "Bacterial small subunit ribosomal RNA", at positions 524 to 788 of the family's 1533-position model. The record is from RNAcentral.